Molecule: ribosomal RNA, 253 nt
Filed under: uncultured bacterium
Lineage: Bacteria
Description: partial 16S ribosomal RNA
Rfam family: Bacterial small subunit ribosomal RNA
Source: RNAcentral
UACAGAGGUCCCAAGCGUUGUUCGGAUUCACUGGGCGUAAAGGGUGCGUAGGUGGCCGGGUAAGUCUGAUGUGAAAUCUCCGAGCUCAACUCGGAAAUGGCAUUGGAAACUAUCCGGCUCGAGGAGUGGAGGGGGGACUGGAAUACUUGGUGUAGCAGUGAAAUGCGUAGAUAUCAAGUGGAACACCAGUGGCGAAGGCGAGUCCCUGGACACUUCCUGACACUGAGGCACGAAAGCUAGGGGAGCAAACAGG